This is a long non-coding RNA of Oncorhynchus keta (chum salmon), 1788 nucleotides long. RefSeq lists it as uncharacterized. NCBI's taxonomy places the organism in Eukaryota, Metazoa, Chordata, Actinopteri, Salmoniformes, Salmonidae. The transcript has 3 exons. The record is from RefSeq and is a predicted model, not a curated record.
GAUCUGUACUUCUCCACAACUUUGUCCCUGACCUGUUGGGAGAGCUCCUUUGUCUUCAUGGUGUCGCUUGCUUGGUGGUGUUGCAGACUCUGGGGCCUUUCAGAACAGGUGUAUAUAUAUACUGAGAUCAUGUUACACUUAAAUAAAGUCUACCUGUGUAUAAUCUAACUAAUUAUGUGACUUCUGAAGGUAAUUGGUUGCACCAGAUCUUAUUUAAGGGCUUCAUAGCAAAGGGGGUGAACACAUAUGCACACACCACUAUUCAGUUUUUAAAAAAAAUGUUGAAAUAAUUUAUUGAAAUAAAUAUAUUUUUUAAUUUCACUUCACCAAUUUGGACUAUUUUGUGUGUGUCCAUUACAUGAAAUCCAAAUAAAAAUCAAUUUAAAUUACAGGUUGUAAUGCAACAAAAUAGGAAAAAUGCCAUGGGGGGGGUGAAUACUUUACGCUGUACCAUGAGACUGAGGACCAACAGUUUAUAUAUUAAACUCCUGGAUACCGUGAUGUCAUCCAGAGGAAUGAAUGGUAUUCACCAGUAGUUCAGUUUAAAUGUUUAUAUAUUAAACUCCUGGAUACCGUGAUGUCAUCCAGAGGAAUGAAUGGUAUUCACCAGUAGUUCAGUUUAAAUGUUGAUAUAUUAAACUCCUGGAUACCGUGAUGUCAUCCAGAGGAAUGAAUGGUAUUCAACAGUAGUUCAGUUUAAAUGUUUAUAUAUUAAACUCCUGGAUACCGUGAUGUCAUCCAGAGGAAUGAAUGGUAUUCACCAGUAGUUCAGUUUAAAUGUUUAUAUAUUAAACUCCUGGAUACCGUGAUGUCAUCCAGAGGAAUGAAUGGUAUUCAACAGUAGUUCAGUUUAAAUGUUUAUAUAUUAAACUCCUGGAUACCGUGAUGUCAUCCAGAGGAAUGAAUGGUAUUCACCAGUAGUUCAGUUUAAAUGUUUAUAUAUUAAACUCCUGGAUACCGUGAUGUCAUCCAGAGGAAUGAAUGGGUAUUCACCAGUAGUUCAGUUAAAUGUUGAUAUAUUAAACUCCUGGAUACCGUGAUGUCAUCCAGAGGAAUGAAUGGUAUUCACCAGUAGUUCAGUUUAAAUGUUUAUAUAUUAAACUCCUGGAUACCGUGAUGUCAUCCAGAGGAAUGAAUGGUAUUCACCAGUAGUUCAGUUUAAAUGUUUAUAUAUUAAACUCCUGGAUACCGUGAUGUCAUCCAGAGGAAUGAAUGGUAUUCACCAGUAGUUCAGUUAAAUGUUGAUAUAUUAAACUCCUGGAUACCGUGAUGUCAUCCAGAGGAAUGAAUGGUAUUCACCGGUAGUUCAUUUAAAUGUUUAUAUAUUAAACUCCUGGAUACCGUGAUGUCAUCCAGAGGAAUGAAUGGUAUUCACCAGUAGUUCAGUUUAAAUGUUGAUAUAUUAAACUCCUGGAUACCGUGAUGUCAUCCAGAGGAAUGAAUGGUAUUCACCAGUAGUUCAUUUAAAUGUUUAUAUAUUAAACUCCUGGAUACCGUGAUGUCAUCCAGAGGAAUGAAUGGUAUUCACCAGUAGUUCAGUUUAAAUGUUUAUAUAUUAAACUCCUGGAUACCGUGAUGUCAUCCAGAGGAAUGAAUGGUAUUCACCAGUAGUUCAGUUAAAUGUUUAUAUAUUAAACUCCUGGAUACCGUGAUGUCAUCCAGAGGAAUGAAUGGUAUUCACCGGUAGUUCAGUUUAAAUGUUUAUAUAUUAAACUCCUGGAUACCGUGAUGUCAUCCAGAGGAAUGAAUGGUAUUCACCAGUAGUUCAGUUUAAAUGUUUAUAUAUUA